RNAcentral lists this ribosomal RNA (447 nucleotides) under uncultured bacterium. Its description in RNAcentral is "bacterial SSU rRNA". It matches the Rfam family "Bacterial small subunit ribosomal RNA", at positions 355 to 825 of the family's 1533-position model. The record is from RNAcentral.
UGGGGAAUAUUGGACAAUGGGCGAAAGCCUGAUCCAGCAAUGCCGCGUGAGUGAUGAAGGCCUUAGGGUUGUAAAGCUCUUUUACCAGGGAUGAUAAUGACAGUACCUGGAGAAUAAGCUCCGGCUAACUCCGUGCCAGCAGCCGCGGUAAUACGGAGGGAGCUAGCGUUGUUCGGAAUUACUGGGCGUAAAGAGUACGUAGGCGGUGAUUCAAGUCAGAGGUGAAAGCCUGGAGCUCAACUCCAGAACUGCCUUUGAAACUAGAUCGCUAGAAUCAUGGAGAGGUUAGUGGAAUUCCGAGUGUAGAGGUGAAAUUCGUAGAUAUUCGGAAGAACACCAGUGGCGAAGGCGACUAACUGGACAUGUAUUGACGCUGAGGUACGAAAGCGUGGGGAGCAAACAGGAUUAGAUACCCACGUAGUCCCUGAGCGGGCUGGCAAGGCGCAU